UCCACAGAAUCUUACAAGCAGGCAGCCAACUGACGUUAUAAGGGAGCAGUGCACAACUUUAAAGGAGCAUGUUCCCUAACUGAGCAGGGACGUAACAUUGAAACAACGUGAAGUGGGACAACAUUAAAUGAGGAGUUACUGGAGUUACGAGUGGGG
Molecule: non-coding RNA, 156 nt
Organism: Chelonoidis abingdonii (Abingdon island giant tortoise)
Lineage: Eukaryota; Metazoa; Chordata; Testudines; Testudinidae
Source: RefSeq, a predicted model, not a curated record